This is a long non-coding RNA of Quercus robur (English oak), 759 nucleotides long. RefSeq lists it as uncharacterized. NCBI's taxonomy places the organism in Eukaryota, Viridiplantae, Streptophyta, Magnoliopsida, Fagales, Fagaceae. The transcript is spliced from 2 exons. The record is from RefSeq and is a predicted model, not a curated record.
GAUUGAGGAGAGUCAAACAUGGUAUAACUGGACGAAUACUAAUUGAAUUUUACCGUACUAUAUUUUUUAUUUUUUAUUUUUAUCUUGCACCUACACCUACUACACGUCUCUAGAGUCUUCUUUAAAAAAUCAAAAAUCAAAUCAGCAAACGCAAGCAGAAGACAGAAGCUUCAAUCCCAUCUCAGAUCUGUUCUCACUUCUCAAUAUUAAAUCAAAAUAUCACUCCCAAUCUCAGAAGUCUCCGUUCUCUCUACUCCCAAUCUCAAGUCUCUCUAGUCUCAGGUCUCAACCCUUCACUGACUUCACUCCAUACCCUCCACAAUCCAAACCCCAGCUGUUGCCGCCGCCGCCUCAUCAACACACUCACAGCUUCGCCUCACUGUCCACCAUGGGUUAAGGCUUCUCAUGUUGACGGAUCAGUUUCUUAGUCUCAAAACUCAGAGCAGGACCUUUAAAAUUGUGAAGAAAAGUACAAUUGGAAUAGAUGGAGAACCUCUGCCCUAUAUAAGAUACAGAAAUACAUGCAUCAUUGAUACCGAGAUAUUCUUUUGAAAUUUCAUAGCAUUAAUUGAAGAAGAGGGGAGCUGUAUAUUGAGAUAUUCUUUUGAAAUUUCAUAGCAUUAAUUGAAGAAGAGGGGAGCUGUAUAUUGAAGGAGACGAAGGAUUUUGGGUUUUGAUUAUUGUAGAAGGGGAGGUGAACCUGAAAAUACACGGGUGUGAAGAGCAAUGUUUUAUUCACCCAAAAAAGAAAAAAGAAAA